CCUACGGGUGGCUGCAGUGGGGAAUAUUGCACAAUGGGCGCAAGCCUGAUGCAGCCAUGCCGCGUGUGUGAAGAAGGCCUUCGGGUUGUAAAGCACUUUCAGCGGGGAGGAAGGCGGUGAGGUUAAUAACCUCAUCGAUUGACGUUACCCGCAGAAGAAGCACCGGCUAACUCCGUGCCAGCAGCCGCGGUAAUACGGAGGGUGCAAGCGUUAAUCGGAAUUACUGGGCGUAAAGCGCACGCAGGCGGUCUGUCAAGUCGGAUGUGAAAUCCCCGGGCUCAACCUGGGAACUGCAUUCGAAACUGGCAGGCUAGAGUCUUGUAGAGGGGGGUAGAAUUCCAGGUGUAGCGGUGAAAUGCGUAGAGAUCUGGAGGAAUACCGGUGGCGAAGGCGGCCCCCUGGACAAAGACUAACGCUCAGGUGCGAAAGCGUGGGGAGCAAACAGGAUUAGAUACCCGGGUAGUC
Molecule: ribosomal RNA, 465 nt
Filed under: uncultured Klebsiella sp.
Lineage: Bacteria; Pseudomonadati; Pseudomonadota; Gammaproteobacteria; Enterobacterales; Enterobacteriaceae
Description: bacterial SSU rRNA
Rfam family: Bacterial small subunit ribosomal RNA
Source: RNAcentral